This is an unclassified non-coding RNA of Macaca mulatta (Rhesus monkey), 149 nucleotides long. It matches the Rfam family "Metazoan signal recognition particle RNA". Rfam says of the family: The signal recognition particle (SRP) is a universally conserved ribonucleoprotein. It is involved in the co-translational targeting of proteins to membranes. The record is from Ensembl. Lineage: Eukaryota; Metazoa; Chordata; Mammalia; Primates; Cercopithecidae.
GCCAGGAGUGGUGGUGUGCCCCUGUAGUCCCAGCUACUCGGGAGGCUGAGAUGGGAGAAUUGCUUGAGCCUAGGGAGAUCGAGGCUGCAGUGAGCUGUGAUCGUGCCACUGCACUCCAGCCUGGGUGACAAAGCAAGACCCUGUCUCAA